AUUUCAUUUAAUAUAACAGGCUUUUAAAAUUCAAUAUUUGCACACUAUUUCUACUUAAAAUAAUCAUAGGGCACUCAUUUCAUGGAACGACCCUUGGACUGGCUAGAAUGUUUAGAAUAGGUUAUCAGUAAAACGUCACAAUAAGGUGCAGAGCGUUUGGUGUCGUCACCUCUGGAAGAGCAUAGAAAUACAAAUGUCAGAUAUUUCCACAUUCUGCUGUAUCAGUUAUACAGCAGUAACUGCAUGCUGUUCAUGGCCAUUUCAGAUACGUAGCCUGACGAUCUCUCUCAAUAUUGGCCACCAUUGAUUGGAUAUUUGAGUGAUAUAAAAGUAAACUAUACCCGACAAGAAUGAGUGGUUUAGGUUCAUUUCCUGUCCUUUGUGGGCUCUUCCUGUCAAGCAGCAGAAGGGCUCAUUUUACCAAUGUAGUUAGCUGAUAAUAUUUACAAGCUACCGGUAUAAACUUGUUACAGGCUAAACAGAGGUAAAUAGACCUACUGUACUUCUUUCUCCAACCAACGUAGGCCUACCUAGCAAAGUUAGCUAACAUUAUCCACUUCUCAACAUUGUUUUUUUUAAGUGUUUAGUCACUAUUGCUGCUGACAGAAAUUAUAGAUGGGCUUCAUUGAUUGAUGGAUCACGUCAAAUUGGCUAGCUAGCUAAUAACAGAUCGGGUCAAUAUGGGCUGGUUAACGAGCUAACUUCCUGGGGAUAAACUUGAACUUGAUUAGCUUGCCAUCUAUAGUGGUGAUGACAGAAGUCCAACUGACCACUUCACCAGGACGAGGACUUGCUGAUGUCAAGGUCUUUCCAAAAGCCUCAUCUCUGAUGAAGCCAACUAAAUGAAAGGUUUGCUUAGUUAGCUACAUGCCAAAUGGAUAGGCCACCCUCAGGUAUCUGAAACUACAUGAUCAACUGAUGUUACUGAUCAUGAACAGCAUGUAGUUACUUACCGUAUAACUCAGAGCUAAAUGUGGAAUAAUCAGACGGGUAGUUCUGACUAUGCGUUGGGGCGGGUGGUAGCCUAGUGGUUAGAGCAGCAGGUAGCCUAGUGGUUAGAGCGUUGGGGCGGGUGGUAGCCUAGUGGUUAGAGCGUUGGGGCGGGUGGUAGCCUAGUGGUUAGAGCAGCAGGUAGCCUAGUGGUUAGAGGGGCAGGUAGCCUAGUGGUUAGAGCAGCAGGUAGCCUAGUGGUUAGAGCAGCAGGUAGCCUAGUGGUUAGAGCAGCAGGUAGCCUAGUGGUUAGAGGAGCAGGUAGCCUAGUGGUUAGAGCAGCAGGUAGCCUAGUGGUUAGAGCAGCAGGUAGCCUAGUGGUUAGAGCAGCAGGUAGCCUAGUGGUUAGAGGGGCAGGUAGGCUAGUGGUUAGAGGGGCAGGUAGCCUAGUGGUUAGAGCAGCAGGUAGCCUAGUGGUUAGAGGGGCAGGUAGCCUAGUGGUUAGAGGGGCAGGUAGCCUAGUGGUUAGAGGGGCAGGUAGCCUAGUGGUUAGAGGGGCAGGUAGCCUAGUGGUUAGAGAGACAGGUAGCCUAGUGGUUAGAGAGGCAGGUAGCCUAGUGGUUAGAGCGUUGGGGCGGGUGGUAGCCUAGUGGUUAGAGCGGCAGGUAGCCUAGUGGUUAGAGCGGCAGGUAGCCUAGUGGUUAGAGGGGCAGGUAGCCUAGUGGUUAGAGCAGCAGGUAGCCUAGUGGUUAGAGGGGCAGGUAGCCUAGUGGUUAGAGUGUAGGGGAGGCAGGUAGCCUAGUGGUUAGAGCGGCAGGUAGCCUAGUGGUUAGAGCGGCAGGUAGCCUAGUGGUUAGAGCGGCAGGUAGCCUAGUGGUUAGAGCGUUGGGGCGGGUGGUAGCCUAGUGGUUAGAGCAGCAGGUAGCCUAGUGGUUAGAGCGGCAGGUAGCCUAGUGGUUAGAGCGGCAGGUAGCCUAGUGGUUAGAGCAGCAGGUAGCCUAGUGGUUAGAGCGGCAGGUAGCCUAGUGGUUAGAGCAGCAGGUAGCCUAGUGGUUAGAGCAGCAGGUAGCCUUGUGGUUAGAGCGUUGGGGCGGGUGGUAGCCUAGUGGUUAGAGCGGCAGGUAGCCUAGUGGUUAGAGCGGCAGGUAGCCUAGUGGUUAGAGCAGCAGGUAGCCUAGUGGUUAGAGCGUUGGGGCGGGUAGUAGCCUAGCGGUUAGAGCAGCAGGUAGCCUAGUGGUUAGAGCGUUGGGGCGGGUGGUAGCCUAGUGGUUAGAGCAGCAGGUAGCCUAGUGGUUAGAGCGGCAGGUAGCCUAGUGGUUAGAGCGGCAGGUAGCCUAGUGGUUAGAGCGGCAGGUAGCCUAGUGGUUAGAGCGGCAGGUAGCCUAGUGGUUAGAGCGGCAGGUAGCCUAGUGGUUAGAGCGGCAGGUAGCCUAGUGGUUAGAGCAGCAGGUAGCCUAGUGGUUAGAGCAGCAGGUAGCCUUGUGGUUAGAGCGUUGGGGAGGCAGGUAGCCUUGUGGUUAGAGCAUUGGGGCGGCACGUAGCCUUGUGGUUAGAGCAUUGGGGCGGCAGGUAGCCUUGUGGUUAGAGCGUUGGGGAGGCAGGUAGCCUUGUGGUUAGAGCAUUGGGGCGGCAGGUAGCCUUGUGGUUAGAGCGUUGGGCCAGUAACCGAAAGGUUGCUAGAUUGAAUCCCCGAGCUGACAAGGUAAAAAUCUGUCCUUCUGCUCCUGAACAAGGCAGUUAACCCACUGUUCCUAGGCCGUCAUUGUAAAUAAGAAUUUGUUCUUAACCGACUUGCCUAGUUAAAUAAAGGUCUUAAAAAAUGUUUUAACAAUCCCUUGAAAACGGCACGCAGUUGUCAAUGGUUUUAGCAGAGCUGACGGUCUUCUUGCUCUACAGCAGCCAAAUGAAACGCUCUGCACCCUGUUGUGACGUCUUAUUGAUAACGACCUAUGGGGACAAACAUCUGGAACAGAUCAUUAGGAUUCUCAGGUUCCAAAUAUAUGAAAUGUCAUGUUGGCUCAUACACAUCCAGAGGCUGCUACAGCCUCUCCUCAUGUAAUGCAUGUCAAUCCCUGGAGUCAAAGACAUGCUGGUUGAGUUGGAAAGAAAGCGUUAUGUUUCUAAUUUCUUAAUGUCGUAAAUUAAACUGUAAUAUUAUACAAAAUGAUAAGAACUGUAUUAUAAUGAGCGAACUGAAUCUAAGUUAAUCUAUGUUCAUGUUUUAGUUCUAGUCCAUGUGAAUUGUUCAAUAUGUGUAUGUCUCAGCAAAGAUAAAACUAUGUGAGUUUACAUAUGGCUUAAAAAUAAAUGUCAAUUUCUUUCUAUUUUCCAUAAAUGUAUAAAUAUAGACAUGAAUUGUUCCUUAGUUUUGGUGUUUGCCUGUAACAUCUAGUAGAUGUAGCAACAUUGCUAUUUAUUGCAGAGAUGAAAUUAUUAGACUGUUUAUUUGCUUUAUCUUGUUUCUAGUUAUUGUUCUGUAAGAUAUGUUAUGUGCAUUGUGUAACUAAAAUGUUCAUUUAAAACUAUUUACUUUAAUAGGGAAUUAUUUAUGUAAAAAUUGUUUGUAAAAUCUAUUUUGGUUUUUAUGACAUUAAACAUGAAUUGAACUUGGUACACAGAGUGUGAUGGAAUUGGUUCUGCUUACUAUAAACUAUGAAGAUUUGUAUUAAUGGUAUAACUGUUUUUAAAGUAUACAUUUCAAUGAUUUAUUUGAUUUGCUAUAGAUAUGUGUCCAGAAGAGAGGUGAUCGCCUCCAUACAUUAAUAUCUCCCCUGCAGGACCCCUCUACACUACCAUGUCCUGAUCUGUCCAUCAGGACCCCUCUACACUACCAUGUCCUGAUCUGUCCAU
RNAcentral lists this long non-coding RNA (3780 nucleotides) under Salmo salar (Atlantic salmon). Its description in RNAcentral is "lncRNA (ENSSSAG00000106945.1)". Lineage: Eukaryota; Metazoa; Chordata; Actinopteri; Salmoniformes; Salmonidae. The record is from RNAcentral.